Olea europaea var. sylvestris is the source of this 145-nucleotide long non-coding RNA. RefSeq lists it as uncharacterized. The record is from RefSeq and is a predicted model, not a curated record. Lineage: Eukaryota; Viridiplantae; Streptophyta; Magnoliopsida; Lamiales; Oleaceae. The transcript has 3 exons.
GAUGGAAUACAGUGUGGUUUUGUUCAACAAGUAGGCUUACGCACACGUGUUUCAACAAGUGCAUUGAGAACAAGUACAAGGAAUCUGAGUUAAACAUGGGUGAAAACAGUUGCAUUGACCGUUGUGUGUCAAAAUAUUGGCAGGU